Molecule: ribosomal RNA, 466 nt
Filed under: uncultured bacterium
Lineage: Bacteria
Description: partial 16S ribosomal RNA
Rfam family: Bacterial small subunit ribosomal RNA
Source: RNAcentral
GAUGAACGCUGGCGGCGUGCUUAACACAUGCCAGUCGAACGGAAAGGCUCCUGCUUGCAGGGGUACUCGAGUGGCGAACGGGUGAGUAACACGUGGGUGAUCUGCCCUGCACUUCGGGAUAAGCCUGGGAAACUGGGUCUAAUACCGGAUAGGACCAUCGUUUAGUGUCGGUGGUGGAAAGCUUUUUCGGUGUGGGAUGAGCUCGCGGCCUAUCAGCUUGUUGGUGGGGUAAUGGCCUACCAAGGCGUCGACGGGUAGCCGGCCUGAGAGGGUGUACGGCCACAAUGGGACUGAGGUACGGCCCAGACUCCUACGGGAGGCAGCAGUGGGGAAUAUUGCACAAUGGGCGCAAGCCUGAUGCAGCGACGCCGCGUGGGGGAUGACGGCCUUCGGGUUGUAAACUCCUUUCGCCAGGGACGAAGCGAAAGUGACGGUACCUGGAUAAGAAGCACCGGCUAACUACGUG